This 253-nucleotide ribosomal RNA is filed under the name uncultured bacterium. RNAcentral's name for it is "partial 16S ribosomal RNA". It matches the Rfam family "Bacterial small subunit ribosomal RNA", at positions 524 to 776 of the family's 1533-position model. The record is from RNAcentral.
UACGUAGGGUGCAAGCGUUGUCCGGAAUUAUUGGGCGUAAAGAGCUCGUAGGCGGUUUGUCGCGUCUGCCGUGAAAAUCCGGGGCUCAACCCCGGACUUGCGGUGGGUACGGGCAGACUAGAGUGUGGUAGGGGAGACUGGAAUUCCUGGUGUAGCGGUGAAAUGCGCAGAUAUCAGGAGGAACACCGAUGGCGAGGGCAGGUCUCUGGGCCACUACUGACGCUGAGAAGCGAAAGCGUGGGGAGCGAACAGG